Molecule: long non-coding RNA, 411 nt
Filed under: Homo sapiens (human)
Lineage: Eukaryota; Metazoa; Chordata; Mammalia; Primates; Hominidae
Description: HSALNT0181047
Source: RNAcentral
CUAAACUGUGGGUCUCUGGCUCCUCUAAUUUUCCCCCACCCCGUAGGCCCAGCCUCCAGGGCUGCCAUGUCUUCCCCUCCCAGCUCUGCUCUGGAGGCCUGAUUCUCUGGGAGGCUGUUGGGCUCACCAUUGGGAAAGGCCAUCCUUAGGUCACGUGGGGCCAUAAGCAAUACCAGCCUCCUCCUCCUGCCAUUUUGCACAUCAGGAGAUACACCAGGAACCUCAGUGUCUCUCUUUCUCUCUCUAGCCUGGUCUCUGGGACCUAGGUCAGGAGGGCAUGAUGCUUUCAAAUAGAAGAAGAAAUCUCCAAUUCUUUUGCCCUCUGUCUUUGCAAGCCCUAUCUUUUAUAUUCACUUCCUCUGACUUCUCAGUAAACAUUGGUUUGAAAGUGAAUGGUAUUAUCAGCUGCCA